Molecule: long non-coding RNA, 1093 nt
Organism: Brassica napus (rape)
Lineage: Eukaryota; Viridiplantae; Streptophyta; Magnoliopsida; Brassicales; Brassicaceae
Exons: 2
Source: RefSeq, a predicted model, not a curated record
ACGAAGGAUAAAACGUCACGAUACGUAAUUUAGAGUUCCCGCAAAUAUCGGGUCAAGGUUUUUUUAUAUUAACACCUUCUUAUUUUGUUAUUUAAAGGAAAAGGUCAUAAACAUGAUAAGUAUUAACCGUGGAGUCCACGUAUGUCCCACGAAAGAUAAAACGUCACAAUACCAAUACGUCACGGUUUAGUCAGUUUCCAUGCCGUGACACAAAAUAAUAUUUGAAAUUUAAUCCCCGCAGAUAUCGGAAGAAGUUUUUUUUAUAUAACCCCUUUCGUCUUGCUCAUAACAAACAAGAGAAGGUUAAUUAACAGAACAGCGAGCGACAACAUAGAAAAAGUUGCAUUUUUUUUUCUUAGUUCUUCUUUUUCGUCUUCGAUCUGAAACUUUUAGACUUUUUUUUUUUUUUGGUAAAAAACUUUUAGACUUGUUAUGGAGAAAAUGGUGGAUCCGCAUCCGGUGGGCUUCAGAUUCCAUCCGACCGACGAGGAGAUCAUUGGCUAUUACCUCAGGGAAAAAAAUAUGGAUAGCUUCGAUCCUUGGGAGUUACCUUCCCACUCGAGUUCAAUAAGGAAGGACGAUGUUUGGUAUUUCUUCGCUCGUAAAGACAACAAAUAUGUGCACACAAAAAAAAAAGUAAAGACGACAAAUAUAACAGAGGAACCCCUUUUUUCAAAAAAAGAAGACAAAUAUAACAGAGGAGGGAGACAGAGCAGGAAAAAGAGUUCUGGUUUUUGGAAGAAGACCGGAGUUACUGUUAACAUGAUCAACCCAACAGUCCAACAGCCCAUGACAAGAAAGAAGAAGAAUUGAGCCAUCAACAACGCAAGCCCACAACUCAGCUCCAGACACCAACAGCUAGCAACAGCUCAGCCUUCGCUGAAAACAAGCAGAGUAUGGAUUCAACAAUUAAGUUGGAGGACAUUUUGGUCUCCUUGCAGAAAACGACAUUUAAACUCUCUGAGUAGAAAGUUCCUUAAUAUAUUCCAUUAGGUUAAGCUUGUCCUCUCUGUAUAAAUAACAAAGGAUGUACAAGUUCUUAAGUAUAAAAAGAAAAAAAAAAUUCUUAAGUAAUAAAAAUGGAGUUUAAGCU